GUCGAGAGGGUUCGGCCCUCGGCGUACUGCUCAGUAACACGUGGAUAACCUGCCCUAAGGAAGGGGAUAACCCCGGGAAACUGGGGAUAAUACCCUAUAGGUUACAGAUGCUGGAAUGCUCUGUAACCGAAAGUUCCGGCGCCUUAGGAUGGAUCUGCGGCCGAUUAGGUUGUUGUUGGGGUAACAGCCCAACAAGCCAGUAAUCGGUACGGGUUGUGGGAGCAAGAGCCCGGAGUUGGAUUCUGAGACACGAAUCCAGGCCCUACGGGGCGCAGCAGGCGCGAAAACUUUACAAUGCGGGCAACCGUGAUAAGGGAACCUCGAGUGCCUGUAUAUGCAGGCUGUCUGGGUGUCUAAAACACACCUAAAGAAAGGGCCGGGCAAGACCGGUGCCAGCCGCCGCGGUAAUACCGGCGGCUCGAGUGGUGGCCACUUUUAUUGGGCUUAAAGCGUUCGUAGCUGGGUUGUUAAGUCCCUUGGGAAAUCCGACAGCUUAACUGUCGGGCGUCUAAGGGAUACUGGCAAUCUUGGAACCGGGAGAGGUGAGGGGUACUUCGGGGGUAGGAGUGAAAUCCUGUAAUCCUCGAGGGACCACCUGUGGCGAAGGCGCCUCACCAGAACGGCUUCGACAGUGAGGGACGAAAGCUGGGGGAGCAAACCGGAUUAGAUACCCGGGUAGUCCCAGCCGUAAACGAUGUGCGUUAGGUGUAUCGGUGACCACGAGUCACCGAGGUGCCGAAGGGAAACCGUGAAACGUACCGCCUGGGAAGUACGGUCGCAAGGCUGAAACUUAAAGGAAUUGGCGGG
RNAcentral lists this ribosomal RNA (807 nucleotides) under archaeon enrichment culture. RNAcentral describes it as "bacterial SSU rRNA". It matches the Rfam family "Archaeal small subunit ribosomal RNA", at positions 57 to 872 of the family's 1478-position model. The record is from RNAcentral.